UACAGAGGGGGCAAGCGUUAUUCGGAAUUAUUGGGCGUAAAGGGCGCGUAGGCGGCCAUUCAAGUGACGGGUGAAAGCCCUCGGCUUAACCGAGGAACUGCCUGUCAGACUGGAUGGCUUGAGACCGGGAGAGGUGAGUGGAAUUCCCAGUGUAGCGGUGAAAUGCGUAGAUAUUGGGAGGAACACCAGUGGCGAAGGCGGCUCACUGGACCGGAACUGACGCUGAUACACGAAAGCGUGGGUAGCAAACAGG
This 253-nucleotide ribosomal RNA is filed under the name uncultured bacterium. Its description in RNAcentral is "partial 16S ribosomal RNA". It matches the Rfam family "Bacterial small subunit ribosomal RNA", at positions 524 to 776 of the family's 1533-position model. The record is from RNAcentral.